This 266-nucleotide long non-coding RNA is filed under the name Olea europaea (common olive). Its description in RNAcentral is "long non-coding RNA (OEUR_LNC004870)". The record is from RNAcentral. Lineage: Eukaryota; Viridiplantae; Streptophyta; Magnoliopsida; Lamiales; Oleaceae.
CAUUACACUAUUAUGUCAGUGCUUUGCUUUACAGCAACACACUGAUUUAAUGUCUCUAAAGCCUAUACUUGAACUCAAUAAUUCAAUAUUACCAGCAAAACAAGAGAGCCACUGCUCUUCGAGGCGGUGAAGUGGACAAUUCCUUACUCCAGCUUCAGAGGAGCAUCUUUGCAUGAAUUAAUACUAACUCCUCAGUCAGCUGACCAUCUAUUUUUGAGAUUAGAGCAUAAGAACUCCGUAACGGCGGAGAAGAGUUUCGCCUCGAA